CCAGUCCUCAGCACACCAUGUUCAUUGCUGUUUCCCUUGCACUUUGGGCAGGUUUAUCCUCUCAAGGCAUGUCAUCUGUACCAGCUGUGAAGCCCUCACCCAUCAGUGUUAGGAGCAGAGCCUGCCUGCAGUCCUCCAUCUCCUUAAGAGACAGCCUGAGCUGCAGCACCAUAUUCCUGCAUAAGCCAAGCUGCAUCCAGCUGCCCAGUGCUGGACAAACAGCCAUGAGGAAAUAACUGUGACCGAUUUCCUGUGGCACUGAGGAUGGUUUGGCUCUGCCCAUCUCAAGGAGCAGCAGCACAACAUGGUGAGGAACUUGGGGACCUGCCAGCUGAAGGGAACUGCCAGUCUCCAUCAGGCUCUUGGCAAACUCUUAAUGUGGUGAAAUCCUGCAGUCAAGAGCUGGGGGAAUAGAAGGUGAGUCACAAUCAGCCACAAGGGAAACCUUCAGAUUCCAAAUCACCAGACAGCAACUCCCUGAUUGCCCAAAGGAGUGGUCAGUGCAGACUGCAACAAUCAACACAUUCCCCACUUGCUUUUGCCAAGGGCUGAAAACCUGCCAAAAGCUGCUGCUGCAGCAGCCUCCAUCCCAAAUGCCCAGAUGCAGGCUCUAAACCAACAGUUUGAGCGGGUGAAAGGAUCCUUUCCUGGAAAGGAACAAAAGGGGAAGUCCUGCAGCUAUCUGAAUUUGUCAAGCCCUAUCAGUUUCAGCACCACCCAGGGAGCACAGCUUCAUAUGCAGAAUGAUCACUAAUGACUCAUGUUCACAGCCCAAUCCAGUUUGCUCCACCCCACACACCACCUUUGAAAACGUCUUUAUGCUUAAAGGAUGGUGUCAGUUAAGCAGCCACUGCAAAAAGUAACUCGGUUACAAGAAAAUCUCCAGUGUGAAUCUGGUUGCUAUUCUGCAAGACAACAUCAAGAAACCCUUUGGUGAGCCUAAGGCUGGAGCAUGUGAUGAACUGAAAAGAGUGGCUCCUGAAUUUGCUUAUACAGAUGCAUCUUUGGGAAAGCUUUUCCACGUGCAAUCUGGCAGCACUGCUGACUUUCAACCACUGCAGGAGUUCCAAUCUGAAGGCAAAAGCUUUCAAAGCAGUAUCUAAAUUCUUUCACAGAAUUUCCCAGCUGCAGUAAAUGAGUCUGUUCUUACAUUAGCUACAACGAACGGGAGCCAGUAUGAGCAGCUACAUUAAAGAGUGAAUGCUUGCAAAACAACCAGACUUCUGCCUGAGGAAUGUAACCAAAUUAUCUCCAUGCAGACUAAACAGGCUGAACAGGCAGUGUAGAGUCGGCAAUGACAGAGACCUGAGCUCUGGCACCAAUUCAAGUCACUGUGCACUGGUAGCCACCCAACCCCAUGGCUCGCCUGCCCCAGCAGUUAAA
Molecule: long non-coding RNA, 1383 nt
Organism: Pezoporus occidentalis (night parrot)
Lineage: Eukaryota; Metazoa; Chordata; Aves; Psittaciformes; Psittacidae
Exons: 3
Source: RefSeq, a predicted model, not a curated record